Molecule: ribosomal RNA, 468 nt
Filed under: uncultured bacterium
Lineage: Bacteria
Description: partial 16S ribosomal RNA
Rfam family: Bacterial small subunit ribosomal RNA
Source: RNAcentral
GACGAACGCUGGCGGCGUGCUUAACACAUGCAAGUCGAACGGAAAGGCCCUGCUUUUGUGGGGUGCUCGAGUGGCGAACGGGUGAGUAACACGUGAGUAACCUGCCCUUGACUUUGGGAUAACUUCAGGAAACUGGGGCUAAUACCGGAUAGGAGCUCCUGCUGCAUGGUGGGGGUUGGAAAGUUUCGGCGGUUGGGGAUGGACUCGCGGCUUAUCAGCUUGUUGGUGGGGUAGUGGCUUACCAAGGCUUUGACGGGUAGCCGGCCUGAGAGGGUGACCGGCCACAUUGGGACUGAGAUACGGCCCAGACUCCUACGGGAGGCAGCAGUGGGGAAUAUUGGACUAUGGGCGGAAGCCUGAUGCAGCAACGCCGCGUGCGGGAUGACGGCCUUCGGGUUGUAAACCGUUUUCGCCUGUGACGAAGCGUGAGUGACGGUAAUGGGUAAAGAAGCACCGGCUAACUACGUG